UUGUUUGUAAUUUAAUUCUCUAAAUUUCAUUCACUGCAUGUCUCGACUACUUUUGCGUAGUUUCUGAGAUAUUUUAAUUUAUAUAAAAAAUAAAACAAUCUAUUUAAUUUAAUUUUUCCCUCUACGACGGUUAUGCAUCGGGCAUGCGCCGAACGAUUACGAGCAUAUUGCUUACAGCUGUCAUAAAGUUACUAAAUGCAAAAUGUAAACAUGAAAUUUAUUUUUUAAGCUACAUCCAUCUGUGUCGGGAUAAUAAUUGGACUUUUUUAGUACCCGGACUGGCCACCAGGCGGCGCCAUUUUACUUU
Molecule: long non-coding RNA, 307 nt
Organism: Cotesia glomerata
Lineage: Eukaryota; Metazoa; Arthropoda; Insecta; Hymenoptera; Braconidae
Exons: 3
Source: RefSeq, a predicted model, not a curated record